Molecule: unclassified non-coding RNA, 1776 nt
Filed under: Acromyrmex echinatior (Panamanian leafcutter ant)
Lineage: Eukaryota; Metazoa; Arthropoda; Insecta; Hymenoptera; Formicidae
Description: allatostatin-A receptor-like, transcript variant X2
Source: RNAcentral
UUACAACGUGAAAUUAUCUUUCUCUUUACGGAUUACACCCUAUAGUAGCAUUUCAUAUAUUUUUGUACAUUUGAUCGACAAGAAUUAUUUAAAUUUUCACUAACUUUACAUCAUUGUCCUUCACAUCCGUUAAUUGUGUUAGUGCAUCUAUUUGAUCUACAAUCGACAAUUAUUAAUUGCAGCAUUGCCAAAUUUUGAUUUUACAUUACUAUCGCAGAUCGACCUCGAUUAGAAUAUGAACCUGGAAGUGGCAAACACGAGCGAUGCGCUUAACUGCAGUACGCAGUUUACUUCAUUCGAGGGCGAUGUAGAGACCUGCAGAAACUAUCACGAAUUUGAAUACGAAUUCGUGCAUAGAAUUCUAGUGGUGGUAGUACCAUUAUUCUUUGGAAUAAUUGGAAUUCUCGGUCUGGUCGGGAAUUUGCUGGUGGUCGUGGUGGUGGCGGCAAAUCCUGGAAUGAGGUCGACCACGAAUAUCCUAAUCAUCAACCUCGCCGUAGCUGAUCUGUUAUUCGUUAUGUUUUGUAUACCGUUCACGGCUACCGACUUCGUAUUACCAUACUGGCCGUUUGGCAAUGUCUGGUGCAAGAUCGUUCAGUAUAUGAUUAUUGUCACGGCUUACGCUAGCGUUUACACCCUGAUACUAAUGAGUCUCGACAGAUAUCUAGCAGUCGUGCAUCCAAUCGCUUCUAUGUCGUGGAGAACGGAGACUCAUGCCAUACAUGCGAUCUGUAUUCUAUGGGUAAUGAUUUUAACGUUAUCCAUCCCUGCCUUCGUGAUCCAUGGCGAGAUUCACUACAUUUUCCAAGGACAAAAUUUGACAGCCUGCCGAAUUCUGGAUCAAUAUGACUGGACUUCCUACCAAGUGCCCUUCUUCCUAUCAAGCUACGUGAUGCCCCUGGUGUUGAUAUGCGUUUUCUACAUGUUCAUGUUGGCCAGGUUGUGGCGAGGUGUACGCACCAGUGCCGAGAACCGACGCGGAAGAAGACGGGUUACCAGACUCGUCGUCAUCGUCGUCGUCGUCUUCGCCUUUUGCUGGUGCCCUAUACAGCCCAUUUACUCUUCGUUGCCAUUUUCAUCUGUUCCAUCUACAUCGCGGACAUCGAUAAAGGAGAGAGAAACAUGAUGAGGAGUGAACGGGUGAAUACAGCAACAAACGUAAUCCAGUAUCACAAGACAUUGCCAUUAAUGGACGAUGCAAUGGAGCAGUUCAAGAUGGAAAAAGACACUAUACGAGAAGAGACUCAACAAAUCAUAAAAGUUCGAGACGAAAAUCGGAAAAACUUUAAUAAACUUUGAAGCCCAUCAAUAUCGAGUCGAAGAUUUAGUCGCUGUGGAGUGAAUGUAACUCGGAUCAGAACUUACAUUUAAACCGAAAUAUCUAGAACCUUAUAGAAUAACCAGAGUCAAAUCAAAUAACACUUAUGACGUGAUACGAGAAAAAGUUCAGGAAGGUCUUAGAGCCAGCAAUAUUUGUGUCAAAUAUCUCAAGCGUUAAACGGAUUUCAAACUAACACACUAUCAUCUGAUGAUCGCAGGAAGACCGAAUGGGAAUGUGGGAAAUCAAAUUUGAUUUCGAAUUAAACGCGAAUAAAGAACGCAAGAAAAUAAGAUAGAACGCAACCAAUAACGAUAUGGAAGUAGAGAAAGAAGGUGGCUCUCCAGAGGUUGACAUUAAUAGAGCGACAGAGAAGGCUAGAAUUGAGCCGACAGAGAAAAAUUCAGAUUUAUUGAGAUGUCGAAGAGAUUGAGAUGUUCAGAGAGAUUAAGAAAUAA